This is a long non-coding RNA of Choloepus didactylus (southern two-toed sloth), 398 nucleotides long. RefSeq lists it as uncharacterized. The record is from RefSeq and is a predicted model, not a curated record. The transcript has 3 exons. Lineage: Eukaryota; Metazoa; Chordata; Mammalia; Pilosa; Megalonychidae.
CACUUCUCCAAUUUGGGAAAUGAGCCCACCUGGGGCUGAGGGGCCUGUGUCAUCUUGACUCUGGGGAGGCGAAAGUGAGUCUGUCUUGAGCAUCUCUGGCACCGUGAUGGCAGCCGAGGAAAUGGACAUCCAGAGAAAUGUCUCCCCGAGGUCCCUCAGCUGGAGCUUGCUGGGUCUGUAAUUCCAACCAGGUCUUGCCAGUUCCAAAGCCUGCUCUUUCCACUCUGCCUUGGGGCAGCAUCCAGGACAAACUCCCUAAUGGAAGCUCCUGGCAAUAGAGGAAAGCUCUGUUUUAACACUAGCUGCAUAUAAGCUUAAGGAACAGAAGCCUCAGAGUCUAAAUUCUACUGAUAACACAUCACUAAAAUAAAAAAUGUCCAGUUUCAACAAAAGGUCAC